GUUGAAAGUGGGGCAGAUGAUGAUUAUCAUAAAACAAAUGGGU
Molecule: small RNA, 43 nt
Filed under: Arabidopsis thaliana (thale cress)
Lineage: Eukaryota; Viridiplantae; Streptophyta; Magnoliopsida; Brassicales; Brassicaceae
Description: ATSL024750
Source: RNAcentral